Molecule: long non-coding RNA, 27789 nt
Filed under: Homo sapiens (human)
Lineage: Eukaryota; Metazoa; Chordata; Mammalia; Primates; Hominidae
Description: HSALNT0316248
Source: RNAcentral
CUUCUUGCCUGCUGCCACAAAGACGUGUCUUGCUUCCCCUUCGCCAUCUGCCUUGAUUGUGAGGCCUCCCCAGCCACGUGGAACAACUUUGCUGCUCUAUUGCCAAACUACUCAUAUCCCCCUGUUACUGUGAAACUUGGUGAAAUUCCUCAGGGAUUUUGAGACAUCAAAGCAAUCUCUCUAGUUCUGGAAAGACUGAAUUUGCAGCAUCUGCUGAAAUGAGGUAAGUGUUAUUUGUAAACAAAAUACUUAAAUACAGGCAUUUUGUAUAAAUUAAAACAUGUAUCUGCUAAGAAAAUUACAUUAUCACUUAACUUUGCAAGUAGUUUGCCUAAAUCAAAUCAGAAAUAAAAACGAAAACACUGGCAUUUUCUGUCAAAUGGUAAUUACGGUGACUAAAAGUCUUUAGAAAUAACUUUAAGUCAAAUUAAAAAUCUGCAUCCAGGGCCGGGCGCGGUGGCUCAUGCCUGUAAUCCCAGCAUUUUGGGAGGCUGAGGUGGGCGGAUCACGAGGUCAGGAGUUCAAGACCAGCCUGGCCAACAUGGUGAAACCCCAUCUCUACUAAAAAUACAAAAAUUUGCUGGGCAUGGGGGCGCGUGCCUGUAAUCCCAGCUACUUGGGAGGCUGAGGCAAGAGAAUCACAUGAACCCAGGAGGCAGAGGUUGCAGUGAGCCAAGACCUCCCCACUGCACUCUAGCCUGGUGACAGAGUGAGACUCUGUCUCAAGAAAAAAAAAAAAAAAAAAAAAAUUCAGCAUCCAGAUACUUUCUCACUAAAAAUGCCACAUGUGUUGUAAUCAAGUGGGGAAAAUGAAAACAGUCCACUGCACUUUAACCACCUAGUUGAAUUUAGCUACCUAUGCUUUAAAACUAUUAUUUCAUAAAAUAGGCUUCUGUUCUCUUUCACGGGUAGAAAACGUACUCUCUCUAACAAAUAUUUAACUAUGUACAAUAUGUUGUGUUAGAUCAUGGUUUUUGUAAAUGGUCCUGUCUAAAUUUUAAAUACAGGGAAAAUAUAUAUCUUCUUAAAUAUGUAGAAACUAGCCCCAUGGUUAUUAUUCUCAAAUAUGAAAGAAGUAAUUAAGGGCUGAGUACAGUGGCUCACACCUGGAAUCCCAGCACUUUGGGAGGCCGAGGUGGGUGGAUCCCCUGAGGUCAGGAGUUCCAGACCAGCAUGGUGAACAUGUUGAAACCCCAUCCCUACUAAAAAUACAAAAAUUAGCUGGGCAUGGUGGCACAUGCCUGUAGUCCUAGUUACUGGGGAGGCUAAGGUAGGAGAAUUGCUUGAAGCAGGGAGGCAGAGGUUACAGUGAGCCGAGGUUGCACCACUGCACUCCAGCCUGGGCAAAACUCCGUCUUAAAAACAAACAAUAAUAAAAUGAAUUUUUUUUAAAAAAUGAAAGAAGCAAUUAUGGAAUUGUUUUGUUAACUUGGUUAGUGAACAGAGCUCAUAAAAUGAGAAACAGAAGGUCACACUGGACCAAGGGACUGUAUGCAGAUUUAAAAAAAAUGAAUAACAGCUGCAUUCACAGUCAUUUAUCUCACACUUGUGCACUGUUGCCAAAAGAUGGAUUUUUACAAUAGAAAAAUAAGGGAGACUAAUAAUAUCCAAAGCCACUGUCACCAUUAAAAAACUUCAAACCUGGGCCUGGCACAGUGGCUCAUGCCUGUAAUCCUAGCACUUUGUGAGGCCAAGGCAGGUGGAUCACCUGAGGUCGGGAGUUCCAGUUCGAGACCAGCCUGACCAACAUGGAGAAACCCCGUCUCCACUAAAAAUACAAAAUUAGCCGGGUGUGGUGGCACAUGCCUGUAAUCCCAGCUACUCGGGAGGCUGAGCCAGGAGAAUCGCUUGAACCUGGGAGGCAGAGGUUGCAGUGAGUUGAGAUCGUGCCAUUGCACUCCAGCCUGGGCAACAAGAGCGAAACUCCAUCUCAAAAAACAAACAAACAAACAAACAAAAACUUCGAAGUUCACAUUUCUGUGUUGGUGAGACAGUAGCUUCAUCUUACCAUCCAGAAAACAAAAGUUUAAGUACUACAGUUCCAUUCCACUUCUCUAGCUCACUGAUAUUGUUAUCUAUAACAGCAAUCAUUCAGAGCCAAAUGCAUAUAGCUCUGCCUUUUGCCAUAACACUGAUAAGUUUGCUUUUGUUUGAAAAUAUUCAAAAUAAAAGAGAAAGACCAAGUUUUUCCAGCUGUGAGAAAAUAGGCAUCUGAUUGUAGGUUAUCCAAGGAUUCCAUGCAGUGUUUGUAUUUUUGUCUCUUUGAGACUUUCUGAGAAAAUAUUUGAUACAGUGCUCAGAUUUCAUACGUUAAGGCACUACAUAUUGAUAUUUUACACACAAAGACAAGCAAUGCUUUUCUGGUCCAACUCAACAUGAUUAAUCGUUCUGCAUUCAAGAAUAAAACAUUUCAUUUGUAAUUUUUUUGAGCUUUCACUUUUAAUUAAACAUAGGAUCAGGGCAUUAUGUAUAUUUUAUUUUUAUUCAUACUGGCCUAGGCAUUUUCUUCCCUAAUGAUUCGUAUUUGUCUUGUUAAAGAGAAGACAGAAAGAUUAUAUUUAGAUAAUGUGAUAAAUAUAAUAAAAGUUUGUUCUUUCAAAUCUUGAUAUAUUGUUCUGAUGUUCUGGUAGUUUCUUAAUUUCUCCCAUUUAAAUGUGUCGACUUUUUACAGGACAAUAAGAGCUAACAUUGAUAGAGUACUAACUGUCAGGUGCUUUACAUGGUUUAUAUCAUUUCUUCCCCACAAAAAACGUUAAAGUUACUGUUACUAUUCCCCUUAUAUGGAUGAGAACACUGAGUCGUACAGAAUUGACCUGACCACCCCACAUUUGCACACCUAUUAAGAAAGGAUGCUAGUCUGGGCUGUUGAACUAUGCUCUCUGCAGAAUAGGGUAGUGACACAUAUCUUCAUAAUAAUGUAGCUUCUGCACAGUUAGUGAGUUUUUGAAAAUAAGUUUCUCCAUAAAACUGCAUUACUUGGCUUAUCUUUCAGAUAAAAAAAUGAAGCUUUACAGAAUGAAAAGAUACAAAAUCCAUAAAAUGUAUGGAAAUAAGAAAAAAAUCUCUUGCUCAGCAACAACUUGGCAGAACCAAUCUGACCAAUGUAUAGCAAAUAUUAAUAUGUGAUUUGCUUUUCUACAUCUGCUGGUGUUUCACAAAGGACAAAAGAAAUAAUUGCAUAGAAAUUGCAUAAAAGCCAUAUGUUCUAUUAAUAAAAUUGACUAGACAUUUUCAGCACUCACCACCAAUGUCUUUAACCUUAUGAUAAUAUUAUAGUUGAUAUUUACCUUUUAAGAAAAAUACAAAUCACUGUUUAUUCCCUGAAGCUAACCUUACACAUGCUAAAUUAUUUAUGUAUCCAUUUUAAUAUGUAUUUUGCAUCUGACAGGACAACUCUCCUUAGGACCCUUUUACUGACCCACCUGUCAUUAUGAUGGGGUAAACUAUGUCACCUUUCUAGUGCACGAUGAAUUACAAAGAAGUUGUAAAGUACACCAUCCAUCAUGCUGGCACUAAGUAGGUUUUUGAAGUAGAUCUCAGAUAUCAGAAAUGCUGUUUAGACGGUUACCAGAAAGCACAAAUUGGAAGCUUACACAAAACGGUCCUAUGAUGAAUGGACAUGACAGCUCUUCCAAGAAAAGGGGCACUCCUCUUCUGCAAAUAACCUUGUCAAAAGCAAAAAGUUGUGGGAAGCUUUGCUGGCAGUCAGACUAGAAUAAUUUAAGAACUUGUUAAUGGCUCUGCAAGACAGAAAUUCAUGCAAACACAAUGUACUCAAAAUCAAAAAAAGAGGCAUGCCUGAAUCUUUAGCAGCAACCACUCAAGCUUGAUUUGAAUUAGGGAAUGAUUUAAAGUGAUACAGAAAAAUCACCAGCGCCUUAUCUAUUAGAACAUGUGAGUUUCAAUAAUAUAUCUAAAACAGGCAUAUAAAAUAUGUGCAGGUAUUGUAUAUGCAUAUAUAAUAGCCACCUAGAAAUUGCUUUUGAAAAUUAUAAUACUGAUAUAAUCUGAGUUUUAAGAAAUGAGUAUCAAUAGCAUGUGCUUUCUUGAUAUAGAUAUUUAAAUCAAUAUGUAUUUAGUAUAAUAGAUUUGCAUUAUUAAUACAAUCUUAAAAUAGUGUCUUUAUCUAAUUUGCAUAAUUAAUUUCUCAAAUUAUGUUCUUCAAAUACAAGGUGUAAGGUUUAUCCGUAUUGCAUUUUGUUUCCUUUAACAAUCCCUUUUGUUUAGCCCUAAUAUUUCAAACAUGGAGUAUAUUUCUACAUCUACAGUUAACUUUAUUUUCUCCCUUUUAACAGCUGCAUUUUAAAAGUUUUUUUAAACUCUUCUUUAUUUUAAAAAAGGCAGUUUUAAUACACUUACAAAUGGUGUCAGGAUACUAAAUAAGGACUUAGAACUAUGCAUAUUUGGAUAACUCCAGAAAUCUGCAGUAGAGGUUGAUUUUAUUUUAUGUGAAACAAAAGGAAAUUUAAAAACUUAAAACUGUUAAGAUAAACAUGUAGAAAACUCUCAGAGAUAUGGUUACACAGGAAUAUUUUAAAAAAAACACCCCACCCAGUUUCAUUAGCAAAAUGAAAAAAAUAAUUAACUUUUUAAAAAAUAAAUGAGUACUCUUUGAUAGUAAACAGAUAAAACCACUGGUUGGUUCUCUUAAGUUUUUCAUUUUUAAAUUGGCUCUUUCAAUACAAAGUCAAAUCCUUAGACAUAGGCGUGCAUUGCCUUAACUGUGAAAGAUGGAGACAUACAAGAAAGUGUUACUGAACCCUAUCUUAUCCCAAUUGUCCCAUAUGCUGUAAUAGAAAUUGUCAUACAACAUGCCCAGAAAAACAACACAAAAGGCCAUUGUUAUAGAUACAUACACACGUGCAUUAGUUUGAAAGUUAAAAUAUAGUGUUUUUAAGUAAACCGGCUUCUUCUUUUGUGUCCUCUAUUGACAAGAAAAAGUAAGUGAAAAAGAAAAAAAAUAAAGAAGAGGAAAGAACCACAUAUAUUUGGAUAAGAAAAACAACUGUUUCAUUUAAAGGGAUCUAAAAAGACAGCUACCGAACAUAUCGAACAUAUAACCAAAAUGCUGAGAAUACAACUCCCUUAUAACUUAUAAUUCUAAAUGGGAGAGAGGCUGGGGGUGGAGAACACCAUCGGUAUCCUGCGAAUUCACAUUUCUAGUUUCUAAGGUCUGAUGAUUUGAAAUUGUCAAGGAAAUAAAAAUGGUGCUCAAGUAAAAUUUAUGGAGGCUAACUUAGCCUCCACAAACAAUGACUGCUAAAUUUGAAAAAGAUAUUAAAAUACUUUAGGCCUGAAUAUAUUUUAAUUUUAAUCAAAUCAUAAUUAUAGGGUCCCUAUAAACUAAUCAAUCAGUGGCUGCUUGGAAUUUGGUGUGGCCUAAAAACAUCUAGAAGAAAGGGAAUAGGCUCAGUUUUUAAAAGUAAGAAGGUUGAAGCUAUAGAAUUUUGCAAAUUCACAUUUUUAACUUAUUUCUUAAAAUAUUAAACCUCUCUACAUAUUAGUAAUAUUACAUAUAUUUUAAACUAAAAAAUUAUUUUACAUUAAAAAUGAGAUGACAUUCAGUUGUGUGAAGGAGUCUAACAAUGGACACUACAUAGCCAAACAUUUAUUACUCUUACACACUACUUGAACGCAGGACACUUGAAGGUGAGGCUAUCUAAUUGCAGAAGUGUGAAAGAAUAAAGAAAAUAAAGGGCGAAGAAUAUUUAUAUAUCCAUCCUACAGCAUCAUCUGUUAGAAUAAAAGGGAUGAUUAACAUUUUUGUGAUUCAGCCUAGACUUUUACAAAAUAUAAAAAGCAAACAUACAAUUACGUACAAUACUCUGUGUCCAAUAUCUGCACAAAUAUCACAGGAAAGUGGAUUUGCCCAAUAGUGGAACUCUAGGGCCCAACAGAUUCUUCCAAAUGACCUUCUCCCUGACUUUCUUCCCUCCACCACCACCUCCAUUAUUAUGAGAGUUUGCUGGUAGUGAGUAUGAAUCAGAAAUUAGAAGUAUACAAUAUCUGUUAAUAUACCCACCCCCGCUUUUUCUUCUUUUUUUUUUUUUUUUUUUGAGAAGGAGUUUCACUCUUGUUGCCCAGGUUGCAGUGCAAUGGGGCAAUCUUGGCUGACUGCAACCUCCCCUCCUGGGCUCCAGUGAUUCUCCUGCCUCAGCCUCAGGAGUAGCUGGGAUUACAGGAGCCUGCCACCGGGCCCGGUUAAUUUUUUGUAUUUUUUUAGUAGAGACAGGGUUUCACUGUGUUGGUCAGGCUAGUCUCGAACUCCUAACCUCAGGUGAUCCACCCGCCUCGGCCUCCAAUGUGCUGGGAUUACGGCCUCCCCAAAGUGCUGCUAUUACAGGCAUGAGCCACAGUGCCCGGCCAGUAUUCCUUUUAAACCAAGGCAAACAAAUUGUUAUUGAAGGGUUCAUCUCCCAUGUUUCCCUUAUUAUGCAGUAAGUCCGGAGUAUAAAGGAGUCAUAGAAAUUUAAUUUUCCAGAUCCAGUGAAUCUCCCCAUUAUACAGUAAGACCAACAAAUACAUGCUCCCAUAAGGGCCUCGGAGAAGCUGCACAGUGAUAGGAUAUCUCUUUCCUUGGUCAGUGUGGAAACUGUACAAUAUGAAAGUGCACGGGCAUUGAGGGAGGGUUUUUGUGGUGAACCCGUAUCUAAGGAACUUAUUUAAAUAAAUUAGUUGAUUUAACCUUAUUCUACCUUCAAUCCACUGGGCCAGCGGGUUAUUACAGAGGGCCAUGCUAAGGAAAUAAGGAUACAAGUUGUAGUUUCAUGAGUUUUGCGUAUCUCCUUCUUCAAGGAAUAAUCAAUGUUCACCAGCGGAAAUUGAAAAGCAAAGAGAUGGGGAAGAUUCCAAGGAUCCACUCAAGUUCCUGGUGUUUUUGUGAAUGUUCUGUGUUUAAGACAUGCUUUUGUUUAGGAGAAGACAUGAGCUGAGCCAACUGGGAUAAAGAAGAGGUUGAAAAUGCGUAUGGCUUAGACAGAGUAAAGAGUUUUAGAUAAAAUAUCGGGGUAACUUUUAGAGUCUUGGCUUAAGGCCAAAGCUUCUGAAUCAAGGAAAGAGUGACAGUUGCCUUCCUCUAUUUUUAUUAAUAUACAGGUGUGUUACCAUUAUUACCUGCCAGAAAGAGCAUAAUAUUAAUCCAAUCAAAUUAUAUGAGUCCUACAGUAGAAAUAUUGCAGACAUUUAAUAUUAUAUUGAAGUUUAAUUAAUGGUAAGACAUUUCAAGGUGGUAAUAGUUAUAUGCAGCUCUUUGGCUAAAAGUCAAAGUGUGAUAUAUACAGAAUAGAAACGAUGCUGGACUGCCAGAAAAUCUGCCUCUCCCUCCCACUCCCCCAAGAUCUAUUAGGAACGAGCAUUUACUGUUAUUAUUUCAAAUAUUUAUGCAAAGUAAUUUUAAAUGAUUUAAACAUUCCAUAUAUCAAUCAAAGUUAAUAAUAAGUUAGAUUCUGAAACAUUUGUGCCAUUAACAACAGUCAGAAAGAUAACAUUAUUUCAUUGGUAUUAAAUGAGGCAAUCAACAGUUUGAUGGAAAAAAAAAAAAAACUAAGUGUAUUUUUUAAAAUUACACUUUUACAUAGAGUUAGAAAACUAGUCCAUAGAAAGGAAACUGUUGACCAAUUACACGUUGUUAUAUCUAACUUGUAUAUUGUUCUUACUAUAGGCUAUGCUCUGUCCUCCUAGAUUUACAUAUAUUUGUAAUUUUUUCUCACAACAACCUUAUGAGUUGGAACUAUUAUUGACUCCAAUACAGAGAUGAGGAAAUCAGCCCGUUUCCUCCCAACGGUUAAGUAACAGUGGUUAACUGGGGAGCUGAGAUUUAAAACUAGUCCAUGUGGCUCUAGAAGCCUUGCACUUAACCACAAUGCCAAAAAAAAAAACUGCAUCAUAAAUCUGCUGACCCAGAAAAGGUGAAGAACUAAUACACACCUGGCUUAUCACAUGUGUUUUCCAUCAUGAAAGUAGGGGCGCUGUGUUUCAAAUCUUAAAUGUGUUAAUAAUCAUAUCAAUUUUCCACUUAAUUUCUUUUGUGUGUGCACAAUCUCAAAACACAACCCUCUCCAUUUCUUUCCCUUUCUCUAUAUCAGUGUAUUAAAUUUUGCCUCUCCAAAGCUGUAGAAUGAAAUAGACUUGCACUAUAUGGACAGAGCAAAAUGUGAAUGACUCAGUCACACAUUCAACACCUUUGAAUUAAAUUUUUCUAACAUGUUUUCACUUUCAAAAUAUGACAAGAAAAGGGUCAGGAGGGCCACAUCUUCCUUCUCUUUCCUGGCACUUCCACACUGAAAAGAUUUAAUGGUUACUUUUGUAUGUUGCAUCUUGACAGUUAGUUCAAUUUAGAUGAAAGCUGUUAUUUUCUAAUUCCAUCUCACUGUAAAUGACAGAGACAAAUGGUCAUAUUACCUUGAGAGUUCCUUUGGCAGAAUAGGCUGCAUAUGAAUAGAGCAGGUCUUGGCUGCUAUCUUUUCUGGCUUCUUCACUGCAAGGCUGGCCAUUAGGAUGAAAGCAUUGACCACUGCUGCUCAGAGUCACAGUGCUGGGAGAAGGGCCUGGCAGAUCAAGCAGCACAGAGUAAUUUACAAACUGUACAUCUUCUAGGCCCAAAGAGGUCCACUGAGUCUUAAUCUUCUUUGAAAUUUCCAUGUCAUCUUCAUUUUUAUAUAGUUGUACCAAAUUUCUGAAAUAAAUUUGAAAAGAAAACUUUUUUAAAAAGGAGAAUACUUUAUUCUUUUGAGAUAUGACUGCUCAAUAUAUGAACAAUAUUAAUAGAUGUUGUGGAAUAUUGAAAGAUGAAUGAGACAGGACCCUAUCACAUGAAACAUAAACACAAAACAAAGUGGAAUGAAUUAGUUUCUUAAAUUAAGAACUGACGGCCCUUGUGGUAGCUCAUGCCUGUGAUCCCAGAACUUUAGGAUGCUAAGGAGGGAGGAUCGCUUAAGCACAGGACUAGCCAGGGCAACAUAGCGACAACCUCUGUCUACAAAACAUUAAAAAAUAAAUUAGCCUGAUGUCCUGGUAUGCAUCUGUGGUCCCACCUACUUGGGACACUGAGGUGGGAUGAUCACUUGAGCCUGGGAGUCGGAGGCUGCAGUGAGCUAGGAUGGAACUAUUGCAUACCAGCUUUGUCAACAGAGUGAGACUCUCUCCAAAGAAAAACAAACAAAUAAAACAAAACAAAACAAAAAAACCCACUAAUACAGCACUAUGGCAUUGCAGAGAAGAGUGAUAUUAAUGCUAACUAAAUCUUCUAUUAGUUCUGAUCCUUCUAUCAACAUCAACAUAAUACACUUAAAAGUCCAUUCCAAAAUCUAGGUGUCAUUCCAGUUGAGACAUUUCUUUGUUAUAGUUAAGGUGAUUUCAUUUAAAACAAUAUGAUUGACAUAUAGUUAUUGCUAUUUAAAAUAAUACAGAGAGAGCUGUUUAGAUACAAAUUUUAUGCCAAAUUACAUGAUGCUAUGAGCACAAUGUUUUCCAAUAAAACCGAAACAAAAACAGAGAUUGCCAAACCAAUGGGAAAUUAAUGUUGUGUUGUACUUUCUGUACUUUGUAUAUUUAUUUCUAUACCUAUCCCAUAAUCCAAUGACACGAUUUUUGCUUAUGACAUACUAGAAGCCAGACAAAUCUGUUAAAAAUUUUGUAUAGUACCUAGAACAGAAUCAGACAUGAGAACUUAAUAAAAAUAAUUUAAUCCUGAGAAAGUUUUUUUUUAAUUUUGUGGCUGAAAUAUUAAUAAAAAGGGACCUAAAAAGAAAAAUUUCCUUUUGGGGCAAAAAUGUAUCUUCUUAAAAGAAUCUUAUUGCUAUACAAGUUAUUACCUAAGUGUUUAUUUUGAUAUUACUGUUAUUUUUGCCCAUCACAUUAUUUUUCUCACUUACUUCCUCCAGGACCCUGUUUAUUCAACAACUCCUAAACUGAGCUUGUUCAACCUAUGGCCCGUGGGCUGCAUAUGGCCCCACGACAGCUCUGAAUGUGGGCCAAUGCAAAUUCGUAAGCUUUCUGAAAACAUUUUGAGACUUUGUAAAAGAUUUUUUUAAUUUUUAUUUGAGCUUAUCAGCUAUUGUUAGUGUUAAUGUAUUUUAUGUGUGGCCCAGGACAAUUUGUGUUUAUCCAGUGUGUCUCAGAAAAGCUAAAUGAUUGGACACCCCUGCAACAGUACAUGCCUGGAAAAGACAUAAGAAGCAGACACAAUAGUGGUAAAAAAGCAUUACACAAGAUAAAAGGUAAGUCUGAGGCCACAGCUUACAAGGUGGCCUACACAGGAAGAUGCAAUAAAAACAGUUUCUCGGUUAUCUCCUAUCUUUGUGAAGCUACUCCUAUUCAUGCUUUCUUCCCACUUCUUUUCUUCCUUCUUCUUCUUGUUCUUUCUUCUUCCUCUUCCUCUUCUUCUUCUUCUCUUCUUGUUCUUCUUCUUCUUCCUCUUCCUCUUGCUCCUUCUCCUCCUCCUCCCCCUUCUUCUUCCUCUUCCUCUUCCUCUUCCCCUUCUCCUUCUUUCUCCUUCUCCUUCUUCUUUUUAAAUAUCUACUUGGAUCAGUCAACAGUGCCACCUAAAUUUUAUGGAAUAGCUGGUGAGAAGAAUUAUAUUCUUUUUCAUUACCAGUAAGAGGGCUCUGCCUUCCACCUUGUUUUGUUGUUGUUGUUACUUUAUCUGUUCUCUACCUUUUCCUACCCCCUUUCUCCAUUGCUAUUGCAUUCUCUCUGUAUUUUUGGGAUAGAGCAGGUAAACUGAGUUAAAAACAACACAAUUUGACAGGAAAGUCAUUUACAAAGGUGAACCAAUACCUUAUUCUGUUAAAAUCCAUAUAAAAUGAGGUUUCAAAAUAUAUAUUUUAUUUAUACAAACAUAGCAAUAUAUCAGUAACAUUGACAGACAAAGAGAAGAAAAAUGCGAAGACUGCUUUAUAUUUUGUUUGCUCCUCUACACUGUUAAUUGAUGAACAUAAAUCCACCAGGGAAUGUGCAAGAUGUUUAAUCUGCCAUUCCUUUUGUUGGUCUCAGUUGCUUUAUGGUGCAAGCAACUGAAAACAUUGAAUGUUUAUACUAUAAGGCCUCGAAGGCAAAUGAAAUACUUCUUUUAGGGCUCAACUGAAGAAUUAGUAAUUUUUCCCAAUUGUGGAGGAUUUCUAAAUAUUUGUCAGUAUUAAGCUAAAAUUAAUGAGUGAAAAAAUGUAUACAGUCUUUACUUCACUUUUAAUUUAUGGGAUAUGUACUUUAUUACAUCAUUUUUAAUAAUAUGAAAUAAUUUAAACACAUAGAUAAUAUACAACGUAUACGAUGUAUAAAGAGUAGUGAAAGGAACCACCCAGGUUAUGAAGAAGAAGAUCUCUAAUAUUAUCAAAGCCCCAAGAAUAGUUUUUCUCUAUUCAAUCACUUACCUUGAUCCCCAGGGUAGCAUCAAUCUGACUUUGUUGCUUCCCAUUGUCUUUUUUUAAUAGGUUUAUAUACAUAUAUGUAUAUCUCUUUAACAAUUUCUUUAAUUAUAAGUGUUUUUACUUUUACAAAAUUGGUAUCUUAUAUAUGGUUUUCAUACUUGCCUUUUUUACUCAAUAUUGGGUGUCUGAGAUUCCUCCAGGUUUUUAAUCAGUUUUCCUAAGAUAAAUAUUUUGAAGUUGUUUUCAGCUUUUCACUAUUGUAAACAAUGCUGCACUGGAUAUUCUUAUUCAUGUUUCCUGAUAGACAUAUGCAAAAGUUUCUUUAGGCAAGGGAUUAUUGGUCCAUAAGGUAUGCACCUGUGUAACUUUAUUCCAAAAUGCCAAAAUGCCUUUAAAAGAUUUUUGAUUACACUCUUGCCAUCUUUUUAUGACAGUUCUACUUCCUCCAUUCCUCGCCAAUAGUUGGUAUUGUCCAUUAUUUUAUUUUACUUUUAAAUUUUAUUUUAUAUUAUACUUUUGUCAAUGUAGUGAGUGUAAAGUAAUAUUUCAUUAUGUGUUUAGCUCAGAAGUACAACUGCCGGAUUGCAGGAUAUACUAAAUAGUUUUCCAAGGCUUCCUUUACCACCCUCUGCUCCUGUAUCUAAUUUCCGCUCUACAAUGAGGGUAAAAUUAUAUCCCAUUGUGGUUUUAAUUUGCAUCUUCAUGAUUACCAGUGAGGAGCUUUUCAUGUAUUAUUUAGCUAUUCAUGUUUCCUUUCAUGUAGAAUAACUGCUCUUGUUUUUGCCUAUAUUUAUAGAAGUUUUUGUAUGUUCUGAAUAAUCUUUUUUAGGUCAUAUGUGUGGCACAUAUUUUAUCCUAGUUUUUGUCUUCUCUUUUUAUUUGCAAUGUAUUGUCUUAUGAUAAGCAAAAGUUUAUAAUUUUAAUGCAUAGAGCUUUUAAUAUAAUUGUUUUCACAUUUUCUGAUGUGCUUAAGAAAUCCUCAAUGCUGUGGUCAUGAAGUUAUUCUCAUUUUUUUUCCUAAAAAAUUUAAGGAGUUGUUUUUCACAUUUCAGUGUUUAUUUGGAGAAUGUGUGUGUAUGUGUGAGCAGGUGUGUGGUAGGAGGCAGGAAUCCAAUUUCCCUUUUUCCAACAUGAGUCCUAGUACCCCUUGUCAAAUAUGCCCCAUUAAUGUGCAAUGACAACUCUGUCGUAUAUGAGUUGCCAUAUGUGUUUGGGUGUGUCUGAGUUCCCAAAUCAAUUCCAUUUGUCUUUUUCUUCCAUAUCCAUAAUAAUGUGCCGUUUUCAUUAUUACAACUUUAUUAUAGGUCUUAAUAUACAGAAUGGGCAAGUCACACUACUUGUUCAUCAGGAAAUCUUAACUAUUUUCCUUUUAUCUUCCAUAUGAAUAUUGGAAUGAGCUCACUAAUUUCCAUGCCAACAUUGUGACUGGAAUUACAUUGAGACUAAAGAUCAAUUUGGGAAGAAAUGCCAUCCUUAUAAUAAUAUAUCAAUAAAUCCUUAAUAUUAUUGCUGUAGUCUGAAUGUUUAUUCAUAUGUUGAAAUCCUAACCCCCAAGGUGAUAGUAUUAAGUGUUGGGGUCUUUGGGAGGUGAUUAUAUUAUAUUAUCUUUCCAUCAUGUGAAGACACAGCUAAAAAGCACCAUCCAUGAGGGAGCAGGCCCUUACCAGAUACCACAGCCACUUUGAUCUUGAACUUCCCAGCCUCCAGAAUUAUAAGAAAUAAAUGUCUGUUGUUUACUAAUUAUCUAAUUUAAGGCAUUUUGUUAUAGCAGCCUGAACAAAUUAAGAUAAUGGUCAAGUGUUUGGUCAAUGUUAACAUAAAAAUAUGUUUUAAAAUUAAAAUAUUUCCUAUUGCUGGUGUAGUGGAAUACUAUUCAGUUGUCCUAUAAAGAAAACCUGCUAAACUCUCUUUUUAAUCAUAACAAUUUUCUUCAUUUUUUCUAUGUAAAACAAUUAUAUCACAUGCAAAAUAAUUAAGGUUUUAUUAUAUCUCUUCUAAUUAUUUAGAGAUUUAACUUUUUUUUUUGUUUUACUACACAGGCUAUGACCUCCAGAAAAUAUUUAAAGAAAUAUUAAUGUGUGAUAGUAGAUAUCCAUGUUAUAAUGUAUAUGUCAGGUUAAAGAUGUUCCUUCCAUUCUCAUGUUGUUAACAGCUGUUUUAUGAAUGCAUAUUAAAUUUUGUCAGAAAUUCCGAUACAUUUAUUAAGACAAUUGUAUGUUUUAUUUCUUUAAUUUGGUGGAUUACGUUAGUAAAUUUUUUAAAUAGUAAACUUGCAUUCCUAAAAUAAGCUGGACUACUAUAAUGAAUUAUAAUUUUAGCUAUCAUGUGAUAUAUUUUGCAAAUAUUUUAUUAUUUUCACAUCCAUUUUUAAAAGUAAAUUUGGCAUGUAAUGUUCCUUUCAACUAUCACUUCUGAUUUUGAUUUGUAAUAUACAAAUCUCACAAAAUGAGAUAGCAAGCCUUCCUUCUCGAUCUACUCUCUAGAAGAGGUUGGAUAUUAUUAGAAUUUUUAAAAGACAAACUUUUCUUAUACUAAAAAUUGUCUGUACUUGAUAUUCUCAUUAUGGGAGAACUAUGAACUGCUGAUUUAAUGAUUUUAAUUUAAGAAUUUUUUAAAAUGUAUUCUUUGAAUCACAGCUCUUUCAUUGCACUCCGUGCUAGCUUACAUAAAUUUUCUAAUUUCUAGGUUUCUGGUUUCAUCAUCUGCCAUAGUACUUUUUUUUUUUCCUUGGGAAUUUCUCUUAUGAUUCUGUCACCUCAGGAUAGUAGUCCUUCAAAGUAGUUAUGUUAUAAUGUAUUCAGCAUAUAUGCGUUUUUCAGAAUAUCUAUUAACAAAUUACUCAAAAUGGAAAUGCACUAUAACACCUUAGACAUGAUUUCUUUGUAGAUAUUGAUUGCUACUCCCACAAUAUCCAAGGGGGAAAACUCUGGAAAAGUAGUUAAGAAUUAUGGCCUAAGCUGUUUCUUCCACAGACUUUCAUAAUAGAAUAGAUACUUGUUCAAAAUUGAUUGAGGUGAUACCAUUUGGCACAUUAUCUCACCAAUUAGAGAUUAGAUUAUUCAAAUCUCCUACACUCUGGUUGUUGACUGGAUUCAAGGGAAUAUGAGCACACCUUUAUAGAAACCUAGAAAAUACAAGUAUAUCAAUAAAAAAUGCAUACUAAAAGAUGAUAACAAAGUUUUUGGAUACACAUGAUUGUAGAAAUACUGGUCUCUAGAAAAUAUGAUUUCUUCAUAAACAGUGGCAAUAUUUCAAAUAGUUAAUCAUAAGUUUAAAAAUAACUCUUAAAUUGUAGUCUUCCUAAGAUUACUUUUAAAUUCUGAUGCCGUUUAAAAUUUUAUUUUAAAUUUAUCAAGUUUAAUGUACAUGCUUCUCUUGUUUAAGAAAAUGAUUUCAGGAGAUCAUAUGAGUUCAUAGUUCUACAAUUAUGUAAUUUUUAAAUUGUUUUAAAUCAGCCUUCUUUGACACAGUCUUACAGCUACAAAUGGUUUAGUCAAAGGGUUCUAUUUAUUAAUCAUUUCAAAUCAUUUAGAAUGUUAAAAUAAAUAGAUUUUAUUGAGAAUGUCAACAGUUUAUUAUACAUUUUUUCCCCACAAUAAAUGUUUCAGGAUUUAUGGUGAACCACUCUGCUAUAAUUAGGUAGUUUGCUGUAUUAAAUGAGAAAUUCUAUUAAAGAAUUAACUGCAAUAUAAUCUAAGUUUACUAAUUUCAGAGAAAUUUGCAAAAAUUGAAGGGUAUAACCUAAAAUCACACGGUAUUUAUUUGACAGAGUGUUUUACUGUGCUUUACUUUUUAAAAUAAGGGUUUCCACGGGCCAGUAGUUUUGGCAGGCAGCAUAAUGAACUGUCAUGCCUAAGACUUGAAUUUGGAAGUAACUUUGGCAUUAAUGUUCCAUUGGCCAAUGGAGAUUAGAAAUGGGAGAAUUUUGGCUUUAGUAGACAAAAUUCUGUUUAUAUCAAUGUUCAACACCUGCUACUGUAUGAGCCACAGAGCAACAGUGAUGUCAGAAUUGGAGGAAGCCAGGCAUGUAGUAUUCCUAACACCAGGUUGAAUGCCAAGAGUAUACUGUAAAUGAAUGGGGAACAAAAACAUCUAAAGAACGAUGAACUAGAAGUACACAUGGAAAAAAUCAGCACAUUUAUUAAUGCCUAUUAACAUUUUCUUAUGUGUAUUUACAAUAACAUAUGCAGAUACUCAUACUAUACCGGGUGAUAUUUCUAAUAUAGUAUUAAAAAGUCAAACAUUUCAUUAGGUUGUUAUUUGAAUUGGUAUCCAAUGUAGUAAAAUUCUGCUAAUCAUGUACUAUAUAUGUGUGAUAAAUUUAAAGAUUACAUAGGAUGAAAUUACCUUUUAAUCUCAUAAUUUUGCUUUGAAAAUAUUAAGAUUAAAACACAUGAUAAACUGUAAUAAACAUAGCAGCAAGGAAUUAAAUGGUUGAGAGGGAAAGGCAGCAUCCCGUAGCCUUCCCUUGCAACAGAGCCACUAAUGGCAUGCCAAUGAAACAAUGGUUUCUUGUUCAACUACUUCUUACCUUCUAAAAUAACAUAGUAACUACAAAUUUUAUAUUAAAUGUCUACUAUUAUGCUUAAUCAUCACAAAAAACUCUUGAUAUAACUACUAUGGUUGCCACUUUACAGAUAAGGAAAUUGAAGGCUAGAUAAUGCAAUCAAGAUGUUGAACGUCCUAGAUUAAAUAAGUCAGUUUUCUACUAUUCUACACUGAAUCUCAGAUUUCCACUAUACCGUGCUAUUUAGAAAAAGCAGCUAGUUUCCCAAUCUGAGAUGCUUUCCAAAAGCAAUAAAAAUGAUGAGUGUUAGAAAGCACUGUAUCUGGGUAAAAUAAAAGUUAGAUAGUAAGAGGUAGGUGGAAAUAAAUCUUUAUGCUCAUGAGAAAAUGAUGCUCAGGGAAAUUAAUGUAGCAAUGUAAAAAAUACAAUAGAAUGAAUUUCACAGUUUGGGAACCAUCUGAACAAAGAAGAAGAAAACAGAUUCUUUAUACAUUCUGUUUAAAAAUCAGUUCAGAAAUGGAUUAUCUGCCAGAGAACGUAAUAGUCUCUCCUCUUCUGAUCAACGAAAAUAUGGUACAUAUCUGCCUGCUCUACAAGUAAUAGAAGGCAUGCUGAUGGGCUCAGUGCCCUCUACUUAAGUCCCAGGCAAAAAGCUGAUACUCAACAAAUACUUUAAUUGAUUUGGUAUUUAUAUCAAUUUAUGUUCCACGUGACAGUAAGAUAAGCUUGAUUUAAAAACCAGAGCACACAGAAAUAUAACAAACUGUCAACACAUCUACUAUUACCUGUGCCAGAAAAAAAAUCCAGUAUUAUAACUCUACAUCUUUCACUCUUGCACACAUUUGUGCAGGAGAUAAUUUCAUCUCUGGUUAACAGUGAGUGCAUAUUUGGAUUUCAAGAGAGAAGAACACAAUAGGGUAUCUGAAAGCAGACUCACGGAAUGGACAAAUUAAUCCAAUCAGUAAGACAAUACGAGUCUUCAAACUUGGGUGGUCAAUACACAGAAACUUUUGAUAAAAAGAGUCAUUAUUUCUAUUUUUUUCAAGUAAGUGAAUAGAUAACUGAAUAAAUAAUUGGGAGAAAGUUUUUCCAUUUUGAUAAGAUUGUAAUAGAAAUGACUAGCCUUUAUCACACUUCAAAAUAAGCAUAUUUACUUUACCACACUUCAAAAUAAGCAUAUUAAACACUAACAAAGAUUCCCUUUUCUUGUCAUUAACACAAAGAUUAUUAAUCUCUUUCAGUAAUCUUAAAAAAUUAAGCGUUUUAAAAGACAGGUAGUAGUCUUACCCUUUUUAACACAUCCUGAAAAUUCAACUAUAGAAGUCUAGCACUUAGUAAAUGGUAACCACAAUCAAUGUUCAGGAAAUAUUUUUUACUAAGUAAAUAUACCUUUAAGACUAUAUUGAAAACCUAAUUUUAAGAUGUUAUAUACUUAUUUUAGUUUAUUUUCUAAUACAGCAAACUGAAUCUUGAGUUCUUCUGCAAGACUGACUAAAAUGUAAUGGUAAUUUUAUAUAAUGGGGAAGAUAUAUUUUUAAAAUAAUUUUUAGAUGUCAUCUCUCUGCGACAAUGCAAACAGGUUAAGAUUAUGCCAGAACAAUAAAUUAUAAUGAUUAUGUCAGAACAAUAUUUAAAACUAGUAAGAACUUACAUGUUAUUUUUCAGUUGUUAGCCCAGACUACCUUCCUUCCUGGGCAGACUCAUUUCAGCACCAAACACUGAAAUCAUCUCAAUUAAAUCAACUUGUCUUGACAUGUCAGGUUACAAAAAUCAUGAGACAACUAACUUUUAACCCACCCAAACUUAUGAAAUACAUCGAAAUCAAUCUGUAGAGAUGGCUGGCCUUUGGAAGUAAUGAUAGUAUGAAAACAAAAACGAAAAUUAUAAGUUCUAAAACAAUAGAGAUAAAACGUGUUUUGAAGCAUGUUACACAUUUUGGUAUUCGAAUAAGUUAUUUACGUGCUUCAUCUCUAUUGUAUACAUGAAGAAAGAAAAAAGAGGUUUCUUGCUAGACCAGAAAUAAGCUGCAUUGACAAUGGUAUAUUUCUGAUAUACAUUAUUCCUAUCAGGCCAGGACCUAGUCUACUGAACCUAAUGAAUUAUCCAUGAUACCAGAAGAGCAGACUUUCAGCAAAAGUUUGGCAGUGGGGAGUGGGUGGGUGGAGAUGGGAGUUUUGGGAAGAGGAGGAUGGAGAGUAAAAUAAUUCUAGAUUUUGGAUUCAGCAAAGGAGGGCUUAACCUCUGGUUUAAGCAUAAAAGCUAGAUGAUCUUAUACAUAUUAACACAUUCUAACCCUUGUUAGUCCAAGCUGCACCAUUUUGUAAGUCCUCAGCCAUUUUGCAGGUCCUGGCCACAGUCAAACAUUUCACAGGGGUUCGGGCUGUGAGACACAUCCUGCCCAGCCACCUGACUUCCUUAUCAUAUCCUGCUGGGCAAACAUCCCAGGAACAUCCUAUCACAGUCCGCUGGAAACAGGGCCAAACUGCCUGAUCAUAAGAACAUCUAAUCAAUAUCCUCCGGGCAGCAAGCCAAACCGCCCAGACUACUCCCACCCAGACCUAUAAUUAUCCCAGUCUGUAGGCCUCAGUGGGCUCUGACAUUUACCUGGUCCCCACCUCUGCAGGUUGCGCUUGCAAUAGACCUGUGUUGCUGUAGAGCCGCCAACUCUCUCUCUGUCUUUCUUUAACCUUCACCUUCUCUUCAAAACUUAAACCUUAGUUUCAACAUUGUAAUUGUCCACCCUCAGUUUCAACAUUGUAAUAUGUUGAACAGUAACAUUUUAUAGAGUUUCUUAGAGCAUUUAGAGUUUUUUAGAACAUAUGUAAAGUCCUUAGCAUAGUCUCUAGUACCUCCAGACAUUUACAAAUGUAACUUCCCUUCUUCUCUUUCUUUCCUAAAUGAUUUGUCCCAAGUACUGAGAAUAUUAUAAAAACUGCAUCAGAAAAUAUACUUGAACUUAGCUUCAUUUUAUGGUUGGACUUAUAAAGCUCCUAUUUGACAUCUUUCUUUUUAAUUCAAAACAGUUCAUGAUAUUUUAAUGUACAGUUCUAGACACUGGAUUCAAAUUUUUAUAUACUUUCUUGUGGGUAUAUAUCCAAAGAAAAUUAUAUCUUUAUCUCAAAGAAGUAUUCACAUGCCUAUCUUCAUUGUAUAGUUUUUCAUGAUAGUCAAGAUAUGAAAACAACCCAAGUGUCCAUCAGUGGAUGAAUGGGUAAAGAAUAUGUGGUAUCUAUAAAAUGAACUCUCUCAUUCAGCCAUCAAAAUAAAGGAAUCUUGCCAUUUGUAACAAUAUGGAUGAACCUGGAGGAUACUAUGCUAAUAUCGAAUUAGCCAGAAACAGAAAGACAAGUACUGCAUCAUCUCAAUUAUGUGAAAUGAAAAAAAAAAAAAAUCAAACUAAUAGAAUCAGAAUGUAGCAUGGUGGUUGCCGGGAGGUAGGGGUAUAUGGUGGUGGAAGAAAUGGAGAGGUAUUGAUGAAAAGGUACAAACGUUCAGUAAUAAGAUGAAUAAAUACCAGGAAUCUAAUGUACAAAUUCGUGACUAUGGUUAAUAAUAUUUUAUUAUUUACUUGAAAUUUGGUAAGAGAACAGUGUCCUUACCACACACACACACACACACACACACACACACACACACAGAGUAACUAUGGGUAGUGAUGAAUGUGUUAAUUAAUUUGAUUGUGGUAAUUAUACAAUGUCUACAUAUAUGAAAUCAUUAUGUUGCGUACCCUAAAUACAUGCAAUUUUGUCAAUUAUACUUCAAUAAAGCUGGAGGAAAAAUACCACAACAGGUUGAAUGCAGAAACACAUAUGAGAAUCUAGCAGUGUUUUAUUAAGCCAGACAGUAAAGAGAUUUGAAAAAUAUAAAACAAUGCCACUCUUCUCUCUAAAUGUUUUUUCUUUGAAAAAUAUUUUUUCAUAAAAUGUUGUAUUCUUAACAUGUAAUGGAAUUUUUAUUUUUUAAUAAAUUAAUAUCUUUUUAUAAUUUGUUUUAAUCCCAUAUAAAUUAAAUAUGGACAUAUAUAACUUUCAAAAACAUAAGCAGUUUGAAGAUCUCAAUAGUAUGUAAGCAUGUAAAGGAGUCCUGAGGCCAAAAUGUUGAGAACCACUGCUCCAUUUCAUGUUUCCUGUAGACAAUAAUGGGAGGUUUCUAAGAAUACACUGAAUGACACACGUUUUCCUGUUCUGCUUAUGGACAUGCCAAUUAAUGAAGGUUGGCAGAGCAAGCUGUCAGGAUCAAGUCUGAAAAAUAGCUGAGUAGGAAACAUUUCAGAGAAUUUAAAGUUUUCCAGUAAUACUAGAGAUGUUGAACCUUUUUUGAGUCUAGGUCACAAGAUGUCAUUGUGUGAAUGUGAGUGCCUAGAUUCAUACCACCUACUAUGUGUAAGUCAUACUAAUCUAGUUCAUGAAAGCACAAAUAGAAGGCUAAUAUAUUCCCAGAUUUAGAAACAAACAAAUGUAUUAUAACUCUCACCAUUUCAACAAGUACCUAUUGAAUAUCUACUACAUCUAAGGAAAUACAAAAGAUUCUGUAUGGGAGAAUCUGGCAAAACCAUCUUAACUUCUUUGGCAAUGGUCAACUCUUACCUACACUGUGCCAAGUACAUUUUUCUGGACUUUGCCAUGGGAUACCUAUUCUCACACUCAUAUUCAGCUAUAUUUUUUUUCACAAAAAUAACCACUGACACUCUGGGAGGCCAAGGCAGGUGGAUUCCCUGAGCUCGGGAGUUCGAGACCAGCCUGGGCAACAUGGUGAAACCCCAACUCUACUAAAAUACACACACACAAAAAUUAGCCAGGUGUGGUGGUGAGCACCAGUAGUUCCAGCUACUUGGGAGGCUGAGGCAGGAGAAUGGCUUGAACCUGGGAGGUGGAAGUUGCAGUGAGCCAAGAUCGAGCCACGCACUCCAGCCUGGGUGACAGAGCGAGACUCCAUCUCCAAAAAAAUAAAUAAAUAAAUAAAUAAAUAAAUAACCACUGAAUAUCUACUCUACAAAAAUAAAGAAAUAAAAAUAACCACUGAAUAUCUACUACUGGAAGCCAUUGUGUAGCUGUAGUGGUUGAGUUAUUAAAUAAAAACAGAUAUAUUGUCCUGAUAUCUGGUUAAAUAAGAGAGGUUUCACAACUUAUAAAGCAAAACUUGAAGGUACCAAAAAAUGCAAAUCAGCAAUCAAAGUUAGAAAUUUUACCAAACUCCUCUGUACAUAAUAGAAUAAGCAGAAAAAGAAAAACAAGAAAAUAGAUGAGUCGACCAAUUUGACAUAUACAGAAAAGUAUACCCAAUAACUUUAUAAGUGCACAUGAAAUGUUUACAAAAAUUGCCUAUAUGCUAGGCCAUAAAGCAAGUCUCAAUACACUUCGAGAGGCCAAAAACCACACAGUAUAUAUGCCAUGAACUCAAUGGAAUUAAGUUAGAAAGAAAUAACAAAGGAGUAGAAAAUCUUAGCUUCUUGGAAAUUAAACAAUGCCUUCUAAAUAACCAAUAAGUCUAUGGUGAAAUAGAAUACUAAAAAAUCUUUUUUUUUUUUUUUUUUAAAACGGAGUCUUGCUCUGUCAUCCAGGCUAGAGUGCAAUGGCACAAUCUCGGCUCACUGCAACCUCUGCCUCCUGGGUUCAAGUGAUUCUCCCACCUCAGCCUCCCAAGUAUCUAAGAUUACAGGCACUCGCCAUCAUGGCUGGCUAAAUUUUUUUGUAUUUUUGUAGAGAUGGAGUUUUACCAUGUUGGCCAGGCUAGUCUUGAACUCCUGUCCUCAGGUGAUCUGCCCACCUCAGCCUCCCAAAGUGCUGGGAAUUACAGGCUUGAGCCACCACGCCCAGCCUAAAAUAUCUUGAAAUGAAUGAUAAUGGAAACAUACCUAACAGUACUUGCGGGAAUCAGCUAAAGCAGUGCUUAGAGAAAUGUAUUGCCUUAAGCAAAUGUAUUUUUUAAAAAUGAAAGAAAAAGAUAAACGAUCUAGAUUCAAUUUAAAUAAAUUAGAAAGAGGCAAUGAUAUAAAAACUCAAAUUUUUAAAAAGGAAAUAAAAAUAAUAGCAAAAAUGAAUAAAAAUGAAGACAAGUAUACAGAAGAAAAACUCAUCAAAGGGAAUUACUGGCUAUAUAUUUGAUCAGCUCUGAUAAUACUAUUCAUGAAAAGAAAAAGAAGGAGGGAGAAGGCACAAAUUAUCCAUCUUAAGAAGAAAAAGCAAGGCAUCAUAAAAGAUCUUACAGGUAUUAAACAGAUAAGAAUAUAUUUUGACAGGAAUUAUGGCAAUGCAUUUAAAAAUUUUGUAAAGUAGAAAAAUGUCCUUAAAAAUCUAAGUUAAAAAACUGUCACAAAAGAAAAUCUAAAUAUUCAAUAUCUACUUAAAAAUAUAGUUAAUUAUAAUAUUAUAUCCUUCCCAGAAAAAAAAACUUUCCAAACCCAGUUAUCCUCUAGAUUGUUUUACAUAUUUCAAAAAGAAAUCAGUUAUAACAGACACAUGCAAGAAUCAAUAAAAUGGAAUUGUCCAAAACUUUUUAUGAGGCAACAAAACUUUGACAUCAAAACAUAUCAAAAAUAUUACAAGAAAAAUUAUCAUCAAAUAUCCUUUAUAAAUAUACUUGUAACACUUACAAAUAAAAUAUUUAUAAAUUGUAUUUAUAUAAAAAGACAAGUGCAUUAUGACCUGGUAGCAUUUGUUUUAGUAAUGCAAGGAUGAUUUAACAUUCAAAAAUCAAACAUUCUGACUUACCACUUUAAAAAAGAAAGAUUAUUUCCCUAAGUUUGGAAAAGAGCAUUAAAAUAACAAACAAUUAGAAAAUUAAAAUUUUAAGAAAAAAUAUUAUUUAUGAUAGCAUUAAAAUAUCAAAUACACUUGUUGAAAGAUAGGCAAAAAAAAAAAAAAGAAAGAAAACCACAAACUAUUAUUGAGAGAAAUUUUAAAAGACUUCAGCAAUUGGAGGGAUAUAUCAUGUUCAUGAGCUGGAAAACUCAAGGUUGUAAAGAUGUCAAUUGUUCCCCAGAUUUGACUUGCACUAUGAUGCCAAACAGACAAGUAGAACAAAGCAACAGAAUAUAGAGUACAAAAAGACUAAAACAUAUGUAAUGAUAUUUCAGAUGAAUCAUAGAACUAAAUUAUAAAGGUAAACAGUAAAGAUAACAAAGGAGAACAUCUUUACUAUCUUGGUUAGACAAAAGAGAAACCGCUAACGAGGAAGACAAAACUGACAAACUGGAUUUCACUGAAAUUAAAAAGCUAUAAUCAUUAAAGAUGCCAUAAAAGUUUGAAAAUGUAAUCAAUAGAGUUCAAGAUAUUUGUAUUAAAUAUAUGUAAUGAAAGACUUUCAUCCAGAUAAUAUAAACAUCUCCAGAAAAAUUAUGAGAAAACUCAAUUUUUAAAAUGGCAAAAAGAUUUAAGGUGGUCUCCCAGAAAAUAGAAAUAGUUAUAUGAACAAUAACCAUUUGAAAAUGAGGCAACAUAUUUAGUUACCAAGAAGCUAAUUAAAAACACAAUGACAUACUACUACCAUAAAACUCAAACUAAAACUAACAAUACCAACUGUUGGCCAAAUAUGGACUAACUAGAUUUCUCAUAUUCUGCUGGCAAGAAUAUAUAAUAGUCUUUAGUAUAAACCCAACAAAAAUGCAUAUAUAUGUAUAUGAAGACAUUUACUAGAAUAAUAUAUAACAUUACUCACAAGAGUAAAAAACUGGAGCUGACUCAAUUGUCUGUUAGUAAUAAAAUGUAUAAAUAUUUGGCCACAUAUUUAUAUAAUAAAAUAUUAUACAGUAAUAAAAUGAAUGGCUGGGCACGGUGGCUCACACCUGUAAUCCCAGUUACUUGGGAGGCUGAGGCAGGAGAAUCACUUGAACCCAGGAGGCAGAGGUUGCAGUGGGCUGAGAUUGCGCGAUUGCACUCCAGCCUGGGCAAAAAGAGCAAAACUCCGUCUCAAAAAACAAAACAAAAUAAAAUAAAAUAAAAUAAAAUAAUGAAAUGAAUAGGAUGAAUCACUCAUUUUAUUACUAUAUAAUAUUUUAUAUGCAACACCAUGGAUAAGUCUCACAGAUAUAGCCAAUGAAAGAAUUCAGACAAAAUAAAGCACAUAUUUAAUGAUUCCAUUUAAAAUUAAGAAAUAGACAAAUUCAUGAUUAUAAAUGUGAAAAUAACUGUUAUAUUUGAGGGCAGCUAAUGACUUGAGAGGGUGCACAAGUGGGAGACCUCUAGGUGGUAAGUUCACUUUAUAAAAUUUAACUUAAGGUUUGUAUACUUUGCUGCAUAUAUAUUAUAUUUGGAUAAAAAAAGAGUUUAAAACAAAAGCAAAAACAAACAAACCUCCUUUGGAACAAUAUCACCUGUAAGAAAACUCAGAUUACCUUAUCAUGAGGCUACCUUUGAUCAGUGGGUGUUAAGAUUUUUCAUAAUGUGAUGGACAUGCCAGUUAGAAUAAAUUUAAAAUAUUGUGAAGCAUUUUAGACACUCUGAUAUGCAUUUUGCAUAUUUCUUUUGUAUAUAACCCAUUGGUUUUUAAUAAGUAUCCUUUGACUAAUUAUCUCCUCUUGGGAAUUUACAUAAUAUAUAAACUAACUAAAACUUGAAUAAGAUUAUUGUGCUUCUUAGAGAUAUUGGCUUAUAAAUAAUAAGCUGAUUACCUUAAUUUCAUCAAGCCACACCAUUCAUCCAGUGUGCUUCAUUUUAUCCUAAAAAUUUAGCCAAAAAAAAACAUUGAAAUUCACUGCAAUACUUUCUAGAAAUUUGGUCAGGCUAUACAUUAAUGACAGCUAAAUUAGCACAGACACUAUCUAUUCAUGUCCCACUGCCCUUUAUUUGAUAGUCACUGUCAUUUCUAUGGCUUCUAUACGUACAAACUGAUUUAAUUUCUCUCAUCAGCCAAUGCAUCUAGAUGUUCCUAACAAACACAAACCCCAAUGAAGACAAAACUCAAGCCAAUUUUCAAGGGAAAUGAUUUAAUUCUUUAGAGCCUGUUACUCCAAAUCCUUGUUUGGCUUCUUAAGCUUGUUUUCAAUGUUUGGUUCAAUGGUUAGCUAAAGGCCACAUAAUGCAUGAGUUGGUAUGUGGUUAAAACUAGAGCUUUGAUAUUUCUUAUAGUCAGCCAUUGCUUUUUUCACAGCCCUAAUAAUGUUACAUAAUUAUAUUGAACACUGUUAAGCUAACUUGAGAAAUAAGUACCAACCAAGCAACUUCUGGUAAUUGCCACCUUUAGUAUUACUUCUCGUGGAUGCCCGGCAGACUAUUUUUAGAGUCUUUAAAAAUAUAUGCAACUAUUUCCAAACUAAAUCAUGCUGUUUGGGAAUGCUGGAACUAAUUUUUGGUACAUGUGAAAUGAACACAAUAAAAAACAUUUGAUUCCUAAGCAAGGAAGUGGUACAAAGCGGAGUUGCUUCUUUUGCCUGAUAUUUUUGGAAACACAAAGCUUCUGCAAGGACUGCAAACUGGAAAUGAACGCAUGCUGUUGCUGGGCGAGCUUUCCUCCAUGUUUCUCUCAAGAACUGAAAUGUCUUGAUUUUUAUAUGCAUUUAUACCUCCCUGUGUAAGUUUUGGCCAUAUGUGCCUAGCUGGGGUAUACUCAUUGCAUACAUAACCAAAAAUAAAUGAAGUGAAUAAAAUUGUUCUUUUUUCAUUAAUUCAAUUAUGUUGCCAUCCAUGAUCUGAAAACAAGAGUAUGCAAAACACCUAAAGCAUUUGUGAAUCAAUGUUUUAGAUACAUUCCAGAGGUUGAAAACUUGUUUCCUUCAAAUUACAUUGGGUGUUCCCAUAUCUUGUGUUUUACCAACAUUUAAAUAUUCUUAUCCAGGUGCAGUGGCUCACGCCUGUAAUCCCAACCCUUUGGGAGGCUGAGGCGGGCAGAUCACGAGGUCAGGAGUUCGAGACCAGCCUGGCCAACAUGGUUUAACACCAUCUCUCCUAAAAAUACAAAAAUUAGCUGGGCAUUGUGGGGGGCACCCGUAAUCCCAGGUACUCAGGAGGCUGAGGCAGGAGAAUUGUUUGAACCUGGGAGGUGGAGGUUGCGAUGAGCCAAGAUCACACCAUUGCACUCCAGCCUGGGCAAUAGGGCGAGACACCUUCUCAAAAAAAAAAAAAAAAAAGAAAAGAAAAAAAAAGAAAAAAAAUUGCUUGUCAACAUCUGCUGGAAUGGGAGAAUGUUUGUCUAUUUGAGACAGGGCAAGAGUUCUGUACCUCACUAAAGACCUCCAUCCCCAAUAGUCUAACACUUACCAUUCACUUAUUUAUAUUAUCUCCUUGUCCUGCCUGAGUAGGCUUUUUAGUUAUGUGAUCUCUGACCUUAGAAAAGUAGUCUUGGAAAGAACUAUCUACUUUUCCAUAAAUUUGUUGCAACUAUCUGCAUCUAUCUUUAAAUGAAGAGUAUUUGAAUACUCUCUUAAAGCCUCAUUAAGUCUGAGGUAAUUGAACUGAUUUCCUAAAAAUGAACAGAACCAAAAAUUAGGCUAAAGAGAUGGCCACAGCAAAAUUUGGUUUUGUUUUAAUAUUAAUAAAACUGUUAUAUUUGACAAGAUGAGGCAAGGGGAAGGGGGAAUCACGGUACAUAAUAUUCAAAAUUGGUCAUCUUUUUUCUUAUGUGUGCAUUUAUACUAUUUCUUGUCAUACUAAAAUCACAAAAGAAUUUUACAAAUCAAAUAAGAAUCCAGGCAGUGCAUUUGUGACAGAUUAUUGGCAUGCUAGAAAAUGCAUUUAAGUUAUCUUUGGAAAGGAUGAUUACAAAUUGGCACUAAAAUUAUUCAUCCAUUAAGGAUCUACUGACAUGUCAUCAUGUCAUAGAAAUUAAUAGAAAAGAAAUCAUUCUAUUACCUCUAAAGAGGUAAUUCCACCUAGUCCUACAUUUUUCUUCAGAAGUAUGUUUAUUAGCACCUAGCCUGUCUAUCUGACUAGACCCAUCCAUUCAGUCUUACUUUCUGCACUAUCCAGAAGAAUUAUUUCAAUUAUAUUUAAAAAAGCAGGUCCUGAAUUGACAGACUGUUUUAAAAGUUUUCAUUGGAAUGAGUGCCGACUGGCCUGUGUGGCAAAAAUUUAAGAACUGAAUUCAUUAAUUAGGUAUAUGGAGACAACUGUACCCCCUCCAGGAGUGAGCAGGUAAUCUUAAGAUGACUUUCUAUCCAGUGGUUAGGAAGCAUUAUUUGCAGAAUUUCUGAGGCCAGGAUCCUCAAACAGACAUUAAGGAAGUCAUAGAAGUGGUCUGAAAGGUGUGCAAAGUCUGCUGAUGAGACACUUAACACUGGGCAAUGAGGAAAAUCCAGGUAAGCAGUCAAUUAUUAGGUAAUCAGAGAGCAAGAAGCACGGCUCCAACACAGGUUUCUAAUCCUUGGGCAGGUCUUCAGCUCCCGGACAUAGAAGAGCAAGACAUGUAUGGAAAAAUGCUAUCGUGGGAGGAGACAAGGGUAUGAUUCAAGUGCUGGGAUGUUGUUAAAGAAAAAAGACACGAUAGUGAUCUGAAAGAAAAAAUGAAAAGAGCUUUGGAUGUGUGGAGCAUUAAGCCUUUCUCACCUAGAAUCAGUUUGUUGCAAUAAUCCACAACGGCUAACAGCAUAUUCAUGAACUCAGAUCACUGAAGAAAUACCUAUUAACCAGAGAAAAUACGUACAGGAAAAAUGGAGAAGAAACGAGCUGGCAUUACAAGAGGAUGGCGUUGAUCCUACAAUGAAAAUUUUAGGAAAUGGGGCACACAAGCAACUAUGGACAAAGAAUGUCAAAGGAACUUCCUAAGAACAUGGAGAGACAUCAUCAAUCAUAGUACAGGAAACACUGAUGUUUGAAGAGUAACAUGGUAGAAAAUUGAACAAUAAUACUUAUGAUGGCAACGUAGUGUGAAGGCAGAAAGCUGAAGGGCUUGAAAAAUAAAGGGAAACAGUCUCACUUUGAGGGUGGCCGCACAGUGACCAAAGCAGCACUUUAAAAUAAAGUUUGUUUUUAAAUAUAAUGAAAA